CAGGCUCUGGCUAUAGUCCAGAUCUCAGUUGGUCCUGGAUAUAACCAAAGCCCGACUGUA
RNAcentral lists this microRNA precursor (60 nucleotides) under Microtus ochrogaster (prairie vole). RNAcentral's name for it is "miRNA (ENSMOCG00000009216.1)". Lineage: Eukaryota; Metazoa; Chordata; Mammalia; Rodentia; Cricetidae. The record is from RNAcentral.